UGAGGAGGGCAAAUCAAGUCGUCUCUGAGAGCCUCGGUUUCCCUGUCCUUCCAACUGGAUGCUGCUGGCUCCGUGAUUAUUUCACCGAGCACCAGAUGUGCACAUGUGAGGACAGGCGAUGACUGCCCAGAAAGGGCAGGGGUUCCUCUGCCCCACCUGCCUCACCUGGGAAAGCUGUGACCACGCUGAGGCCAGGUUCCUGGGAUGAACAUCAGGACACCUGUGUGCCAUAGCUCAUCCCAGACUCCUCCAAUCCGGGUCUUGAUUCAGGCCAGAGGCGGUCAUCCCUCCAAAGGCACCAGGGAGCCAUGGAAGAGGAUGGACCCCUUCGAGGACACGCUGCGGCGGCUGCGUGAGGCCUUCAACUCAGGGCACACGCGGCCGGCCGAGUUCCGGGCUGCGCAGCUCCAGGGCCUGGGCCGCUUCCUUCAAGAAAACAAGCAGCUUCUGCGCGACGUGCUGGCCCAGGACCUGCAUAAGCCAGCUUUCGAGGCAGACAUAUCUGAGCUCAUCCUUUGCCAGAACGAGGUUGACUACGCUCUCAAGAACCUGCAGGCCUGGAUGAAGGAUGAACCACGGUCCACGAACCUGUUCAUGAAGCUGGACUCGGUCUUCAUCCGGAAGGAACCCUUUGGCCUGGUCUUCAUCAUCGCACCCUGGAACUACCCACUGAACCUGACCCUGGUGCCCCUGGUGGGCGCCCUCGCCGCAG
Molecule: small RNA, 712 nt
Filed under: Pan troglodytes (chimpanzee)
Lineage: Eukaryota; Metazoa; Chordata; Mammalia; Primates; Hominidae
Description: processed transcript
Source: RNAcentral